This 305-nucleotide ribosomal RNA is filed under the name uncultured bacterium. RNAcentral describes it as "bacterial SSU rRNA". It matches the Rfam family "Bacterial small subunit ribosomal RNA", at positions 337 to 639 of the family's 1533-position model. The record is from RNAcentral.
GCCUACGGGGGGCAGCAGUGAGGAAUAUUGGUCAAUGGGCGGGAGCCUGAACCAGCCAAGUCGCGUGAGGGAAGACGGUCCUAUGGAUUGUAAACCUCUUUAGGCGGGGGGCAAUGCCGGGCACGUGUGCCCGGAGGGAGAGUACCCGCAGAAUAAGCAUCGGCUAACUCCGUGCCAGCAGCCGCGGUAAUACGGAGGAUGCGAGCGUUAUCCGGAUUUAUUGGGUUUAAAGGGUGCGUAGGCGGAUUUUUAAGUCAGCGGUAAAAUGUCCGGGCUCAACCCGGCCCGGCCGUUGAAACUGGGGG